RNAcentral lists this microRNA precursor (96 nucleotides) under Nicotiana attenuata. RNAcentral describes it as "MIR6152 microRNA precursor family". It matches the Rfam family "MIR6152 microRNA precursor family". Lineage: Eukaryota; Viridiplantae; Streptophyta; Magnoliopsida; Solanales; Solanaceae. The record is from Rfam by way of RNAcentral.
AAGACAGAUUAUUGUAUUCGACUGUAUUCACGGCGUGAAACAGGGGAUUACAUUGUUUUUAAACGGAAAUUGAAUCAACUAACAUAAUAGACUCCU